This 732-nucleotide ribosomal RNA is filed under the name uncultured Comamonadaceae bacterium. RNAcentral's name for it is "bacterial SSU rRNA". It matches the Rfam family "Bacterial small subunit ribosomal RNA", at positions 28 to 757 of the family's 1533-position model. The record is from RNAcentral. Lineage: Bacteria; Pseudomonadati; Pseudomonadota; Betaproteobacteria; Burkholderiales; Comamonadaceae.
AUUGAACGCUGGCGGCAUGCCUUACACAUGCAAGUCGAACGGCAGCACGGGAGCAAUCCUGGUGGCGAGUGGCGAACGGGUGAGUAAUACAUCGGAACGUGCCCAAUCGUGGGGGAUAACGCAGCGAAAGCUGUGCUAAUACCGCAUACGAUCUACGGAUGAAAGCAGGGGAUCGCAAGACCUUGCGCGAAUGGAGCGGCCGAUGGCAGAUUAGGUAGUUGGUGAGGUAAAGGCUCACCAAGCCGUCGAUCUGUAGCUGGUCUGAGAGGACGACCAGCCACACUGGGACUGAGACACGGCCCAGACUCCUACGGGAGGCAGCAGUGGGGAAUUUUGGACAAUGGGCGAAAGCCUGAUCCAGCCAUGCCGCGUGCAGGAUGAAGGCCUUCGGGUUGUAAACUGCUUUUGUACGGAACGAAACGGCCUUUUCUAAUAAAGAGGGCUAAUGACGGUACCGUAAGAAUAAGCACCGGCUAACUACGUGCCAGCAGCCGCGGUAAUACGUAGGGUGCAAGCGUUAAUCGGAAUUACUGGGCGUAAAGCGUGCGCAGGCGGUUAUGUAAGACAGUUGUGAAAUCCCCGGGCUCAACCUGGGAACUGCAUCUGUGACUGCAUAGCUAGAGUACGGUAGAGGGGGGAUGGAAUUCCGCGUGUAGCAUGAAAUGCGUAGAUAUGCGGUAGGAAACCGAUGGCGAAGGCAACCCCUGGACCUGUACAGAGCUCAUGCACUAA